Molecule: ribosomal RNA, 577 nt
Filed under: uncultured bacterium
Lineage: Bacteria
Description: partial 16S ribosomal RNA
Rfam family: Bacterial small subunit ribosomal RNA
Source: RNAcentral
UGGGGAAUUUUGGACAAUGGGCGAAAGCCUGAUCCAGCAAUGCCGCGUGUGUGAAGAAGGCCUUCGGGUUGUAAAGCACUUUUGUCCGGAAAGAAAUCCUCUGGGUUAAUACCUCGGGGGGAUGACGGUACCGGAAGAAUAAGCACCGGCUAACUACGUGCCAGCAGCCGCGGUAAUACGUAGGGUGCAAGCGUUAAUCGGAAUUACUGGGCGUAAAGCGUGCGCAGGCGGUUUUGUAAGACGGAUGUGAAAUCCCCGGGCUUAACCUGGGAACUGCAUUCGUGACUGCAAGGCUAGAGUAUGGCANGGGAGGGUAGAAUUCCACGUGUAGGCAGUGAAAUGCGUAGAGAUGUGGAGGAAUACCGAUGGCGAAGGCAGCCCCCUGGGCCAAUACUGACGCUCAUGCACGAAAGCGUGGGGGAGCAAACAGGAUUAGAUACCCUGGUAGUCCACGCCCUAAACGAUGUCAACUAGUUGUUGGGGAUUCAUUUCCUUAGUAACGUAGCUAACGCGUGAAGUUGACCGCCUGGGGAGUACGGUCGCAAGAUUAAAACUCAAAUGAAUUGACGGGGUCAUA